RNAcentral lists this transfer RNA (73 nucleotides) under Camelus bactrianus (Bactrian camel). It matches the Rfam family "tRNA". Rfam says of the family: Transfer RNA (tRNA) molecules are approximately 80 nucleotides in length. Their secondary structure includes four short double-helical elements and three loops (D, anti-codon, and T loops). Lineage: Eukaryota; Metazoa; Chordata; Mammalia; Artiodactyla; Camelidae. RNAcentral also lists the same sequence under 1 other name. The record is from Rfam by way of RNAcentral.
GAGGGUAUAGCUCAAGUGGUAGAGCACAUGCUUAGCAUGCACAAGGUCCUGGGUUCAAUCCCCAAUACCUCCU